Molecule: transfer RNA, 71 nt
Filed under: Starmerella bacillaris
Lineage: Eukaryota; Fungi; Ascomycota; Dipodascomycetes; Dipodascales; Trichomonascaceae
Description: tRNA-Arg
Rfam family: tRNA
About the family: Transfer RNA (tRNA) molecules are approximately 80 nucleotides in length.
Source: RNAcentral
AUUCUAAUCGUUUAAUGGUAAGACAUGGUUCUUCUAAAGCCACAAUUGAAGUUCAAAUCUUCAUUAGAAUG